Molecule: long non-coding RNA, 274 nt
Filed under: Chinchilla lanigera (long-tailed chinchilla)
Lineage: Eukaryota; Metazoa; Chordata; Mammalia; Rodentia; Chinchillidae
Description: lncRNA (ENSCLAG00000026380.1)
Source: RNAcentral
CCCCCUUGAUAGUCGCUGUUCCUCUUGGCAUCGUGUUUCCAUUCCGGUGUGGACAUGGAGUCUGGCUUGCAGAUGAGCAGCCCACAGGGAGUCAUCAGGCGCUGCUGCUGCUCAGCCUGGAGAGUGGAGAAACCCACGCGUGGCGUGGCCUGGCCACCUGCACCAGCUCACCAGCCGGGCCGCAGAGAUGCUGCUCUUUCCCUGUGCUUUCGCCUCGUUACGGGAUGCUGGGCUGACACCUAGGACUGCACCUCUUCCUAGAAUCUUAGCUGUC